This 533-nucleotide ribosomal RNA is filed under the name Pseudomonas veronii. RNAcentral's name for it is "bacterial SSU rRNA". It matches the Rfam family "Bacterial small subunit ribosomal RNA", at positions 79 to 608 of the family's 1533-position model. Lineage: Bacteria; Pseudomonadati; Pseudomonadota; Gammaproteobacteria; Pseudomonadales; Pseudomonadaceae. The record is from RNAcentral.
CUUGCUUCUCUUGAGAGCGGCGGACGGGUGAGUAAUGCCUAGGAAUCUGCCUGGUAGUGGGGGAUAACGUUCGGAAACGGACGCUAAUACCGCAUACGUCCUACGGGAGAAAGCAGGGGACCUUCGGGCCUUGCGCUAUCAGAUGAGCCUAGGUCGGAUUAGCUAGUUGGUGAGGUAAUGGCUCACCAAGGCGACGAUCCGUAACUGGUCUGAGAGGAUGAUCAGUCACACUGGAACUGAGACACGGUCCAGACUCCUACGGGAGGCAGCAGUGGGGAAUAUUGGACAAUGGGCGAAAGCCUGAUCCAGCCAUGCCGCGUGUGUGAAGAAGGUCUUCGGAUUGUAAAGCACUUUAAGUUGGGAGGAAGGGCAGUUACCUAAUACGUAAUUGUUUUGACGUUACCGACAGAAUAAGCACCGGCUAACUCUGUGCCAGCAGCCGCGGUAAUACAGAGGGUGCAAGCGUUAAUCGGAAUUACUGGGCGUAAAGCGCGCGUAGGUGGUUAGUUAAGUUGGAUGUGAAAUCCCCGGGC